This 388-nucleotide ribosomal RNA is filed under the name uncultured bacterium. RNAcentral describes it as "partial 16S ribosomal RNA". It matches the Rfam family "Bacterial small subunit ribosomal RNA", at positions 523 to 918 of the family's 1533-position model. The record is from RNAcentral.
AUACAUAGGGGGCGAGCGUUAUCCGGAUUUAUUGGGCGUAAAGGGUGCGUAGGCGGUAAAUUAAGUCUAAGGUUAAAGUGCAGGGCUCAACCCUGUGAUGCCUUAGAAACUGGUUUACUUGAGUUUGGUAGAGGUAAGUGGAACUCCAUGUGUAGCGGUAAAAUGCGUAAAUAUAUGGAAGAACACCAGUGGCGAAGGCGGCUUACUGGGCCACAACUGACGCUGAGGCACGAAAGCGUGGGGAGCAAACAGGAUUAGAUACCCUGGUAGUCCACGCUGUAAACGAUGAAUACUAAGUGUUGGAAAAAUCCAGUGCUGAAGUUAACGCAUUAAGUAUUCCGCCUGAGUAGUACGUACGCAAGUAUGAAACUCAAAGGAAUUGACGGGG